UACGAAGGGUGCAAGCGUUACUCGGAAUUACUGGGCGUAAAGCGUGCGUAGGUGGUUCGUUAAGUCUGAUGUGAAAGCCCUGGGCUCAACCUGGGAAUUGCAUUGGAUACUGGCGAGCUAGAGUACGGUAGAGGGUAGUGGAAUUCCUGGUGUAGCAGUGAAAUGCGUAGAGAUCAGGAGGAACAUCCGUGGCGAAGGCGACUACCUGGACCAGUACUGACACUGAGGCACGAAAGCGUGGGGAGCAAAC
Molecule: ribosomal RNA, 250 nt
Filed under: uncultured bacterium
Lineage: Bacteria
Description: partial 16S ribosomal RNA
Rfam family: Bacterial small subunit ribosomal RNA
Source: RNAcentral